Molecule: ribosomal RNA, 478 nt
Filed under: uncultured Planctomycetales bacterium
Lineage: Bacteria; Pseudomonadati; Planctomycetota; Planctomycetia; Planctomycetales
Description: bacterial SSU rRNA
Rfam family: Bacterial small subunit ribosomal RNA
Source: RNAcentral
UUCGCAAUGACCGAAAGGGUGACGAAGCCACGCCGCGUGUGGGAAGAAGGCCUUCGGGUUGUAAACCACUGUCGGGAGUUAAGCACAGCAAGGAUAUGAAUAGUGUCUUUGCUCACCUAAGGCUCCGGAGGAAGCCACGGCUAACUCUGUGCCAGCAGCCGCGGUAAUACAGAGGCGGCAAGCGUUGUGAUUCGGAAUUAUUCAGCGUAAAGAGCACGUAGGCACAUAUGUAAGUCGGUUGUGAAAGCACACCGCUCAACGGGAGAACAGCAUCCGAUACACAAUGGCUUGAGUGCGGGAGGGGAGAGUGGAACUUCUGGUGGAGCGGUGAAAUGCGUAGAUAUCAGAAGGAACGCCGGCGGCGAAAGCGGCUCUCUGGCCCAUAACUGACGCUGAGUGUGCGAAAGCUAGGGCACCAAACGGGAUUAGAUACCCCGGUAGUCCUAGCCGUAAACGAUGGGCACUAAGUAGAGGGGUA